AUGAAGAUGGCGACUUGCAUUCGUAAGGUGGCCUCGGAGGAGUUUGGAGUGUCCAGGGGAAGGAGAAGCAAAGAUAAGGAUACCUGGUGGUGGAAUGAUGAUGUCCAGAAGGCGCUGAAAGAGAAGAAAGAUUGCUUCAGACGCCUAUACCUAGAUAGGAGUGCAGACAACAUAGAGAAGUGCAAGAUGGCGAAGAAGGCCGCAAAGCGAGCUGUUGGUGAAGCAAGGGGUCGAGCAUAUGAGGACCUCUACCAACGGUUAGGCACGAAGGAAGGUGAAAGGGACAUCUAUAAGAUGGCUAAGAUCCGGGAGAGGAAGACGAGGGAUAUUGGCCAAGUCAAAUGCAUCAAGGACGGAGCAGGCCAACUCUUGGUGAAGGACGAAGAGAUUAAGCAUAGAUGGCGGGAGUACUUCGACAAGCUGUUCAAUGGGGAGAAUGAGAGUUCUACCAUUGAACUGAAUGACUCCUUUGAUGAGAUCAGCAUGCGUUUUGUGCGGCGCAUCCAGGAGUCUGAGGUGAAGGAGGCUUUAAAAAGGAUGAAAGGAGGCAAGGCAAUGGGCCCUGAUUGUAUCCCCAUUGAGGUGUGGAAAGGCCUCGGGGACAUAGCGAUAGUAUGGCUAACCAAGCUUUUCAACCUCAUUUUUCGGGCAAACAAGAUGCCAGAAGAAUGGAGACGGAGUAUAUUAGUACCAAUCUUCAAGAACAAGGGAGAUGUUCAAAAUUGUACUAAUUACCAUGGAAUUAAGCUGAUGAGCCAUACAAUGAAGCUAUGGGAGAGAGUCAUUGAGCACCGCUUAAGAAGAAUGACAAGCGUGACCAAAAAUCAGUUUGGUUUCAUGCCUGGGAGGUCGACCAUGGAAGCCAUUUUCUUGGUACAACAACUAAUAGUGAGAUAUAGGGAGCAUAAGAAGGACUUGCAUAUGGUGUUCAUUGACUUGGAGAAGGCCCAUGAUAAGAUACCGCGGAAUGUCAUGUGGUGGGCCUUGGAGAAACACAAAGUCCCAGCAAUGUACAUUACCCUCAUCAAGGACAUGUACAAUAAUGUUGUGACAAGUGUUCGAACAAGUGAUGUCGACACCGAUGACUUCCCGAUUAAGAUAGGACUGCAUCAGGGGUCAGCUUUGAGCCCUUAUCUUUUUGCAUUGGUGAUGGAUGAGGUCACAAGGGGUAUACAAGGAGAUAUCCCAUGGUGUAUGCUCUUUGCGGAUGAUGUGGUGCUAGUUGACGAUAGUCGGAUGGGGGUAAAUAGGAAGUUAGAGUUAUGGAGACAAACCUUGGAAUCGAAAGGGUUUAGGCUUAGUAGAACUAAAACCGAGUACAUGAUGUGCGGUUUCCGUACUACUAGCUGUGAGGAGGAGGAGGUUAGCCUUGAUGGCCAGGUGGUACCUCGGAAGGACACCUUUCGGUAUUUGGGGUCAAUGUUGUAG
This 1428-nucleotide ribosomal RNA is filed under the name Triticum aestivum (bread wheat). Its description in RNAcentral is "partial small subunit ribosomal RNA". Lineage: Eukaryota; Viridiplantae; Streptophyta; Magnoliopsida; Poales; Poaceae. The record is from RNAcentral.